GAUGAACGCUGACAGAAUGCUUAACACAUGCAAGUCAACUUGAAUUUGGGUUUUUAACUUAGAUUUGGGUGGCGGACGGGUGAGUAACGCGUAAAGAACUUGCCUCACAGCUAGGGACAACAUUUAGAAAUGAAUGCUAAUACCUGAUAUUAUGAUUUUAAGGCAUCUUAGAAUUAUGAAAGCUAUAAGCACUGUGAGAGAGCUUUGCGUCCCAUUAGCUAGUUGGAGAGGUAACAGCUCACCAAGGCGAUGAUGGGUAGCCGGCCUGAGAGGGUGAACGGCCACAAGGGGACUGAGACACGGCCCUUACUCCUACGGGAGGCAGCAGUGGGGAAUAUUGGACAAUGGACCGAGAGUCUGAUCCAGCAAUUCUGUGUGCACGAUGAAGUUUUUCGGAACGUAAAGUGCUUUCAGUUGGGAAGAAAGAAAUGACGGUACCAACAGAAUAAGUGACGGCUAAAUACGUGCCAGCAUCCGCGGUAAUACGUAUGUCACGAGCGUUAUCCGGAUUUAUUGGGCGUAAAGCGCGUCUAGGUGGUUAUGUAAGUCUGAUGUGUAAAUGCAGGGCUCAAUUCUGUAUUGCGUUGUAAACUGUAUAACUAGAUCACUGGAUAGGUAAGCGGACUACUAGUGUAUAGGUGAAAUCGUUGAUAUUUGUUGGAAUGCCGAUGUGUGAAGCCAGCUUACUGGACAUAUACUGAUCGCUGUGUGCGUAAGCUGUGGGUUGCGAAUGGGAUUGGAUUUCGUGGGUAUGCACAGGAUGAAGUCCUCAUGGUUGAGAAGCUAUCGUGUGCUGGGCUGCCAGUGGUGUCCUGAAAUAAAAUAUUUUAUUCAUUUGUGUGAGGUUGUUAUGUCGUUGGUGUGUGUGUGUGUGUCCUGUCAUCUGCUCGUGUUGCUUGCGUGCCAGCUGUGUGAAAAAUUGUGUGUGGUGUUGUGGUGUGCUAUCCAUGUGUUGUAUCUGUGUUGGUGGUGUUGUUGUGGUGUUGUGUGGUGGUGUUGAUGUUCUGUGUGCCUUGUAUUCUGCUUAGUGUGUUGUUGUUGUGUUGUGUUGUGUUGGCUGUUCUCUGUGUCUGUUGUUGUUAUGCAUAUAGUGUUGUUAUUUAGUUUGUAGUUGAUGUUGCUAUUGUAGUGUUUGAUGCUUGCCUUU
Molecule: ribosomal RNA, 1147 nt
Filed under: uncultured Enterobacteriaceae bacterium
Lineage: Bacteria; Pseudomonadati; Pseudomonadota; Gammaproteobacteria; Enterobacterales; Enterobacteriaceae
Description: bacterial SSU rRNA
Rfam family: Bacterial small subunit ribosomal RNA (bases 1-803)
Source: RNAcentral